UGAUCCUGGCUCAGAUUGAACGCUGGCGGCAGGCCUAACACAUGCAAGUCGAGCGGUAGCGGGAAGAGCUUGCUCUUUGCCGACGAGCGGCGGACGGGUGCGUAACACGUAGGAAUCUGCCCGGUAGUGGGGGAUAGCCCGGAGAAAUCCGGAUUAAUACCGCAUACGCCCUAAGGGGGAAAGCAGGGGAUCUUCGGACCUUGCGCUAUCAGAUGAGCCUGCGUCGGAUUAGCUGGUUGGUGGGGUAAAGGCCUACCAAGGCGACGAUCCGUAGCUGGUCUGAGAGGAUGAUCAGCCACACUGGGACUGAGACACGGCCCAGACUCCUACGGGAGGCAGCAGA
Molecule: ribosomal RNA, 343 nt
Filed under: uncultured Endozoicomonas sp.
Lineage: Bacteria; Pseudomonadati; Pseudomonadota; Gammaproteobacteria; Oceanospirillales; Endozoicomonadaceae
Description: bacterial SSU rRNA
Rfam family: Bacterial small subunit ribosomal RNA
Source: RNAcentral